Molecule: small nuclear RNA, 79 nt
Filed under: Neogale vison (American mink)
Lineage: Eukaryota; Metazoa; Chordata; Mammalia; Carnivora; Mustelidae
Description: Neovison vison (American mink) U4 spliceosomal RNA (ENSNVIG00000005567.1)
Rfam family: U4 spliceosomal RNA (bases 1-70)
About the family: U4 small nuclear RNA (U4 snRNA) is a component of the major U2-dependent spliceosome.
Source: RNAcentral
GUCCAUGUGCAGUGGCAGUAUCGUAGCCAAUGAGGUUUAUCCGAGGCGCGAUUAUUGCUAAUUGAAAAGACAAGAUGUG